RNAcentral lists this ribosomal RNA (424 nucleotides) under uncultured bacterium. RNAcentral's name for it is "bacterial SSU rRNA". It matches the Rfam family "Bacterial small subunit ribosomal RNA", at positions 354 to 796 of the family's 1533-position model. The record is from RNAcentral.
GUGGGGGAUAUUGCACAAUGGAGGGAACUCUGAUGCAGCGACGCCGCGUGAGGGAAGACGGUUUUCGGAUUGUAAACCUCUGUCUUCGGGGACGAUAAUGACGGUACCCGAGGAGGAAGCCACGGCUAACUACGUGCCAGCAGCCGCGGUAAUACGUAGGUGGCAAGCGUUGUCCGGAAUUACUGGGUGUAAAGGGAGCGUAGGCGGGAAUGCAAGUCAAGUGUUAAAUCUAUCGGCUCAACUGAUAGCUGCGCUUGAAACUGCGUUUCUUGAGUGAAGUAGAGGCAGGCGGAAUUCCUAGUGUAGCGGUGAAAUGCGUAGAUAUUAGGAGGAACACCAGUGGCGAAGGCGGCCUGCUGGGCUUUUACUGACGCUGAGGCUCGAAAGCGUGGGGAGCAAACAGGAUUAGAAACCCCAGUAGUCC